CAGUAGCCGCGGGAAUACAGAGGGUGCGAGCGUUAAUCGGAUUUACUGGGCGUAAAGCGUGCGUAGGCGGCUUUUUAAGUCGGAUGUGAAAUCCCUGAGCUUAACUUAGGAAUUGCAUUCGAUACUGGGAAGCUAGAGUAUGGGAGAGGAUGGUAGAAUUCCAGGUGUAGCGGUGAAAUGCGUAGAGAUCUGGAGGAAUACCGAUGGCGAAGGCAGCCAUCUGGCCUAAUACUGACGCUGAGGUACGAAAGCAUGGGGAGCAAACAGGAUUAGAUACCCCAGUAGUCCUGUCUCUUAUACC
Molecule: ribosomal RNA, 301 nt
Filed under: uncultured bacterium
Lineage: Bacteria
Description: partial 16S ribosomal RNA
Rfam family: Bacterial small subunit ribosomal RNA
Source: RNAcentral